AGAAUCUUCCGCAAUGGGCAAAAGCCUGACGGAGCGACGCCGCGUGGUGGAUGAAGCCCUUAGGGGCGUAAACACCUUUUAUGAGGGAGGAAUUUUAUUGACGUUACCUCAUGAAUAAGGGGCUCCCAACUCUGUGCCAGCAGGAGCGGUAAUACAGAGGCCCCAAGCAUUAUCCGGAUUCACUGGGCGUAAAGGGUGCGUAGGCGGUUAUAUUAGUCAGAUGUUAAAUCCUGGAGCUCAACUUCAGGCCCGCAUUUGAAACGGUAUAACUAGAAGACGUCAGAGGCAAGCAGAACUCACGGUGUAGGGGUGAAAUCCGUUGAUAUCGUGGGGAAUACCAAAUGCGAAGGCAGCUUGCUGGGGCGAUCUUGACGCUGAGGCACGAAAGCGUGGGUAGCG
RNAcentral lists this ribosomal RNA (399 nucleotides) under uncultured bacterium. RNAcentral's name for it is "bacterial SSU rRNA". It matches the Rfam family "Bacterial small subunit ribosomal RNA", at positions 358 to 770 of the family's 1533-position model. The record is from RNAcentral.